This 253-nucleotide ribosomal RNA is filed under the name uncultured bacterium. Its description in RNAcentral is "partial 16S ribosomal RNA". It matches the Rfam family "Bacterial small subunit ribosomal RNA", at positions 524 to 776 of the family's 1533-position model. The record is from RNAcentral.
UACGUAGGGUGCAAGCGUUGUCCGGAAUUAUUGGGCGUAAAGAGCUCGUAGGCGGUCUGUCGCGUCUGCUGUGAAAACUCGGGGCUUAACCCCGGGCCUGCAUCCGAUACUGCCCGACUAGAGGUAGGUAGGGGAGAUCGGAAUUCCUGGUGUAGCGGUGAAAUGCGCAGAUAUCAGGAGGAACACCGGUGGCGAAGGCGGAUCUCUGGGCCUUACCUGACGCUGAGGCGCGAAAGCGUGGGGAGCGAACAGG